AGCCUUGGGCCCCACGCGCGCGAGCGCCGCCCGCACCCCGGCCGCCCUCCCACCGCCAGCGGCUCCGCACCCGGCGCCCGCAGCCCUCGUACCUCACACCGCUGCUCCGAAAGCCCCGGAACGCGCUCUCGGGCUCUCGCGGUGCCCUUACAGAGGGUGCUGUGCUUCUGCCCAAAGCCGGCGCUCGGCCAAGACGGCCGCGGAGCAGCGAGAAGCCGCGGACCGGCACCGUCAUGGCCGCGGAUCCCCGGCUUCCGGACCGGGGCUCCACCUCCCGCGACUCCAGUCCUCGCGGCUGGAGGCCUGGCUCCGCCCUCACCCGGCCUGGCAGGGCAGCAAGUAACGCUGUCAGCCAGGUUCCGGCAGACACGCAGAGUGGGGUCAGGAGCGGUUCCCAGGGCCGGGGACGGAACUGACAGAGCGCCGGGUCCGCAGGGGGCGGGGCCAGGACCCAAGCCCGGGGCCCCCUGAGGAUGUGGAGGCGUGCAGUGUGGCCUGGCGACUGGGCCCCGCACCCAGCCAACACACAGCUGGCAUUCCCAUAGCGACGGCACAGAGAACGCCUCCAAACUAUCACUUUAGGUAGCACGCCCCACUUUCCACCAAGCCAGAGAUCCUGCCCAACAGUCUCCGUGACUAAGUGGAAUUGGAUUUAAAGCAGGAAAGAAGUAAUAGGUUCAUUGUUUCCCACUUCCUUUGUGAGAUUCCUUGGAAGUUGGAGAAAAGAACAAAGGUGUGUGGAGAAGGAGCAAAACCUGGCUGAACAAGGAAGGUCUGGACUUUAGGAUUUCUCUACUCCUACUUUAUCAUCUCCACUUUUGGAAGGAAAUAUUGACCAAUAUCUGUCUUUUCCUGAGUUAUGAUCAAGUCGAUGCAGGCUAAGAACCCUGCAUUGUGUGGUGAGCUUGUGUGGUGAGGAAGCAAAAUAUCUGCUCCCUCUGAAAAAGUAAAACAUUAGACUGUCCAUUCAUUGUGCAAAUUAAAACAGACACACAAAAAACAGUCACAGACAAAACCAGCUGGGAAGUUAACAGGAAACAACUUUUCUCCCAAGGUCAGGCUGCUGCUGUUGAGUCAGAACAACGUCUUUCAUAGCUGCACUUUUACUGAGAAAACUUGUUUUUUAAAAUCAUAGACUGUCAGAAAAUACGCUCUUUAAAAUCAUAUCAAUAAGAAUGGGAUACCUUACUCUUUCCUGGCUGAUCUAAAUCCAUUUGACACAAAUAAGCUGCCUAGAAGAAAAUACAGGAAAAAAUCUAGGUGACCUUGGGUUUGGCAAUGAGACUUUAGAUACAACACUUAAAUCACAAUUCAUAAAAGAAAAAAACAAUUUAAACUUCUGCCAUGCAAAAGACACUGUUAAGAUAAUAAAGAAACAAAUCACAUACUGGGAGAAAAUAUUUGCAAAACAUUUUUACAAGGACUUACACCCAAAAUAUAAGAAGAACUCUUAAAACUCAACAAUUAAAGAAAAAAAAAAAACAAGCAACUCAGUUAAAAGUGAGCAAAAGAUCUGAAAACACCCACCAAAAAAGGUAUACAGAGGUCAAAAACAAUGGAAAAAGGUUCAAUGUCAUUUAUCAUUAAGGAAAUACAAAUUAAAACAACAAUGAGAUACCACUACACUCCCAUUAGAACCGCUGAAGUCCAAAAAAUUGAUAAUACCAAAUGCUAGCAAGGAUGUGUGGCAACAAGAACUUUCAUUCAUAGUUGGUGAUAAAAAAUGGUUCGGUCACUUUGGAAGACAGUUUGGCAGAUUCUUACAAAGCUAAAUAUCAUUUAACCAUGCAAUCCAGCAACCAUGUUCCUAUAUAUUUACCCAACUGAUUUUAAAAUAUGUCUGCAAUAAACCGCCAUAUGAAUGUUUAUA
This 1870-nucleotide non-coding RNA is filed under the name Pongo abelii (Sumatran orangutan). The record is from RNAcentral. Lineage: Eukaryota; Metazoa; Chordata; Mammalia; Primates; Hominidae.